GAGGAGCUUGCUCCUUUGACGUUAGCGGCGGACGGGUGAGUAACACGUGGGUAACCUACCUAUAAGACUGGAAUAACUCCGGGAAACCGGGGCUAAUGCCGGAUAACAUGUUGAACCGCAUGGUUCAACAGUGAAAGACGGUCUUGCUGUCACUUAUAGAUGGACCCGCGCCGUAUUAGCUAGUUGGUAAGGUAACGGCUUACCAAGGCGACGAUACGUAGCCGACCUGAGAGGGUGAUCGGCCACACUGGAACUGAGACACGGUCCAGACUCCUACGGGAGGCAGCAGUAGGGAAUCUUCCGCAAUGGGCGAAAGCCUGACGGAGCAACGCCGCGUGAGUGAUGAAGGUCUUCGGAUCGUAAAGCUCUGUUGUUAGGGAAGAACAUAUGUGUAAGUAACUGUGCACAUCUUGACGGUACCUAACCAGAAAGCCACGGCUAACUACGUGCCAGCAGCCGCGGUAAUACGUAGGUGGCAAGCGUUAUCCGGAAUUAUUGGGCGUAAAGCGCGCGUAGGCGGUUUUUUAAGUCUGAUGUGAAAGCCCACGGCUCAACCGUGGAGGGUCAUUGGAAACUGGAAAACUUGAGUGCAGAAGAGGAAAGUGGAAUUCCAUGUGUAGCGGUGAAAUGCGCAGAGAUAUGGAGGAACACCAGUGGCGAAGGCGGCUUUCUGGUCUGUAACUGACGCUGAGGUGCGAAAGCGUGGGGAUCAAACAGGAUUAGAUACCCUGGUAGUCCACGCCGUAAACGAUGAGUGCUAAGUGUUAGGGGGUUUCCGCCCCUUAGUGCUGCAGCUAACGCAUUAAGCACUCCGCCUGGGGAGUACGGUCGCAAGACUGAAACUCAAAGGAAUUGACGGGGACCCGCACAAGCGGUGGAGCAUGUGGUUUAAUUCGAAGCAACGCGAAGAACCUUACCAAAUCUUGACAUCUUUUGAUCGCUCUAGAGAUAGAGUUUUCCUCUUCGGAGGACAAAAUGACAGGUGGUGCAUGGUUGUCGUCAGCUCGUGUCGUGAGAUGUUGGGUUAAGUCCCGCAACGAGCGCAACCCUUAAGCUUAGUUGCCAUCAUUAAGUUGGGCACUCUAAGUUGACUGCCGGUGACAAACCGGAGGAAGGUGGGGAUGACGUCAAAUCAUCAUGCCCCUUAUGAUUUGGGCUACACACGUGCUACAAUGGA
This 1177-nucleotide ribosomal RNA is filed under the name Staphylococcus hyicus. RNAcentral describes it as "bacterial SSU rRNA". It matches the Rfam family "Bacterial small subunit ribosomal RNA", at positions 73 to 1234 of the family's 1533-position model. The record is from RNAcentral. Lineage: Bacteria; Bacillati; Bacillota; Bacilli; Caryophanales; Staphylococcaceae.